CAGCCGCCGCGGUAAUACGAAGGGGGCUAGCGUUGUUCGGAUUUACUGGGCGUAAAGCGCACGUAGGCGGAUCGAUCAGUCAGGGGUGAAAUCCCGGAGCUCAACUCUGGAACUGCCUUUGAUACUGUCGAUCUGGAGUAUGGAAGAGGUGAGUGGAAUUCCGAGUGUAGAGGUGAAAUUCGUAGAUAUUCGGAGGAACACCAGUGGCGAAGGCGGCUCACUGGUCCAUUACUGACGCUGAGGUGCGAAAGCGUGGGGAGCAAACAGGAUUAGAUACCCCAGUAGUCCCUGUCUCUUAUAC
Molecule: ribosomal RNA, 301 nt
Filed under: uncultured bacterium
Lineage: Bacteria
Description: partial 16S ribosomal RNA
Rfam family: Bacterial small subunit ribosomal RNA
Source: RNAcentral